RNAcentral lists this ribosomal RNA (200 nucleotides) under uncultured Entrophospora. Its description in RNAcentral is "uncultured Claroideoglomus partial small subunit ribosomal RNA". It matches the Rfam family "Eukaryotic small subunit ribosomal RNA", at positions 591 to 789 of the family's 1831-position model. Lineage: Eukaryota; Fungi; Glomeromycota; Glomeromycetes; Entrophosporales; Entrophosporaceae. The record is from RNAcentral.
CCAAUAGCGUAUAUUAAAGUUGUUGCAGUUAAAAAGCUCGUAGUUGAAUUUCGGGAUUGACGUGAUGGUCGUGCCUUAAGGGGUAUGAACUGUCGCAGUUGAUUUCUCACCUUCUGGAGAAGCAUGAUGUCCUUAAUUGGGUGUCACGUGGAACCAGGACCUUUACCUUGAAAAAAUUAGAGUGUUUAAAGCAGGCAUUU